CCUACGGGAGGCAGCAGUGGGGAAUCUUGCGCAAUGGGCGAAAGCCUGACGCAGCCAUGCCGCGUGAAUGAUGAAGGUCUUAGGAUUGUAAAAUUCUUUCACCGAGGACGAUAAUGACGGUACUCGGAGAAGAAGCCCCGGCUAACUUCGUGCCAGCAGCCGCGGUAAUACGAAGGGGGCUAGCGUUGCUCGGAAUUACUGGGCGUAAAGGGAGCGUAGGCGGAUAGUUUAGUCAGAGGUGAAAGCCCAGGGCUCAACCUUGGAAUUGCCUUUGAUACUGGCUAUCUUGAGUACGGAAGAGGUAUGUGGAACUCCGAGUGUAGAGGUGAAAUUCGUAGAUAUUCGGAAGAACACCAGUGGCGAAGGCGACAUACUGGUCCGUUACUGACGCUGAGGCUCGAAAGCGUGGGGAGCAAACAGGAUUAGAUACCCUGGUAGUCCACGCUGUAAACGAUGAGUGCUAGUUGUCGGCAUGCAUGCAUGUCGGUGACGCAGCUACGACAUAAGACACUCCGCCGUGGGUAGGUACGGUCGGCGAGAAGUUAAACGUACAAUAGAAGUAGACGGCGUGAGACGUAGACCGACGGACGACGACGAGGGAGGAGG
RNAcentral lists this ribosomal RNA (606 nucleotides) under uncultured bacterium. RNAcentral describes it as "bacterial SSU rRNA". The stretch from base 1 to 517 matches the Rfam family "Bacterial small subunit ribosomal RNA", at positions 338 to 873 of the family's 1533-position model. The record is from RNAcentral.